RNAcentral lists this ribosomal RNA (893 nucleotides) under bacterium enrichment culture clone HY316. RNAcentral's name for it is "bacterial SSU rRNA". It matches the Rfam family "Bacterial small subunit ribosomal RNA", at positions 9 to 887 of the family's 1533-position model. The record is from RNAcentral.
GAGUUUGAUCCUGGCUCAGAACGAACGCUGGCGGCGUGCUUAACACAUGCAAGUCGAACGCGAAAGUUUUCUUCGGAAGACGAGUAGAGUGGCGCACGGGUGAGUAACGCGUAAGUAAUCUGCCCUGGUAUCUGGAAUAACUCACCGAAAGGUGUGCUAAUACCGGAUACGCUGAGCAAUCAGGAAAGAUGGCCUCUUCAUGAAAGCUAUCGUACCAGGAGGAGCUUGCGUACCAUUAGCUAGUUGGUAGGGUAAUGGCCUACCAAGGCGACGAUGGUUAGCGGGUCUGAGAGGAUGAUCCGCCACACUGGAACUGAAACACGGACCAGACUCCUACGGGAGGCAGCAGUGAGGAAUAUUGCGCAAUGGGGGCAACCCUGACGCAGCGACGCCGCGUGGAUGAUGAAGGCCUUCGGGUCGUAAAAUCCUGUCAGAUGGAAAGAAAUGUCAUGUGCCUAAUACGUAUGUGAUUUGACGGUACCAUCAAAGGAAGCACCGGCUAACUCCGUGCCAGCAGCCGCGGUAAUACGGAGGGUGCAAGCGUUGUUCGGAAUUACUGGGCGUAAAGCGCGCGUAGGCGGCUUGUUAAGUCAGAUGUGAAAGUCCACGGCUCAACCGUGGAAGUGCAUGUGAAACUGGCAGGCUUGAGUAUUGGAGGGGGUUAGUGGGAAUUCCCGGUGUAGAGGUGAAAUUCGUAGAUAUCGGGAGGAAUACCGGUGGCGAAGGCGACUACCUGGCCAAAUACUGACGCUGAGGUGCGAAAGCGUGGGGAGCAAACAGGAUUAGAUACCCUGGUAGUCCACGCCGUANACGAUGUGAACUAGGUGUUGGGAUGGUUAAUCGUCUCAUUGCCGCAGCUAACGCAUUAAGUUCACCGCCUGGGGAGUACGGUC